This 911-nucleotide ribosomal RNA is filed under the name uncultured bacterium. RNAcentral's name for it is "bacterial SSU rRNA". It matches the Rfam family "Bacterial small subunit ribosomal RNA", at positions 33 to 949 of the family's 1533-position model. The record is from RNAcentral.
ACGCUGGCGGCGUGCUUAACACAUGCAAGUCGAACGAUGAAGCCUAGCUCGCUAGGUGGAUUAGUGGCGAACGGGUGAGUAAUACGUGAGUAACCUACCUUUAACUCUGGGAUAAGCCUGGGAAACUGGGUCUAAUACCGGAUACGACCAAUCUCCGCAUGGGGUGUUGGUGGAAAGCGUUAUGUAGUGGUUAUAGAUGGGCUCACGGCCUAUCAGCUUGUUGGUGAGGUAACGGCUCACCAAGGCGACGACGGGUAGCCGGCCUGAGAGGGUGACCGGCCACACUGGGACUGAGACACGGCCCAGACUCCUACGGGAGGCAGCAGUGGGGAAUAUUGCACAAUGGGCGCAAGCCUGAUGCUGCGACGCCGCGUGAGGGAUGACGGCCUUCGGGUUGUAAACCUCUGUUAGCAGGGAAGAAGAGAAAUUGACGGUACCUGCAGAGAAAGCGCCGGCUAACUACGUGCCAGCAGCCGCGGUAAUACGUAGGGCGCGAGCGUUGUCCGGAAUUAUUGGGCGUAAAGAGCUUGUAGGCGGUUUGUCGCGUCUGCUGUGAAAGGCCGGGGCUUAACCCCGUGUAUUGCAGUGGGUACGGGCAGACUAGAGUGCAGUAGGGGAGACUGGAAUUCCUGGUGUAGCGGUGGAAUGCGCAGAUAUCAGGAGGAACACCGAUGGCGAAGGCAGGUCUCUGGGCUGUAACUGACGCUGAGAAGCGAAAGCAUGGGGAGCGAACAGGAUUAGAUACCCUGGUAGUCCAUGCCGUAAACGUUGGGCACUAGGUGUGGGGGACAUUCCACGUUUUCCGCGCCGUAGCUAACGCAUUAAGUGCCCCGCCUGGGGAGUACGGCCGCAAGGCUAAAACUCAAAGAAAUUGACGGGGGCCCGCACAAGCGGCGGAGCAUGCGGAUUAA